This 1745-nucleotide long non-coding RNA is filed under the name Homo sapiens (human). RNAcentral's name for it is "PREDICTED lncRNA (TCONS_00247599)". Lineage: Eukaryota; Metazoa; Chordata; Mammalia; Primates; Hominidae. The record is from RNAcentral.
AUCCCACAAGAGGCAGGAAACUGCUAGAGGAAGCUGCCUUGGAGAGGAUUCUUUCCUCCCCUCCCGAAAGGAGCUGAACUCAAAAUCUCUCCAUUUCACAAUAGACAUUGGAGAACAUUUUCAACAGUGGAUUUGCACCGGUGUUUUGUGUCCUAGAAAAACGUUCCCUUCAGGUAGGUUCUAAUAAGCCCCACUGGGACAUUUUGGACACCCUUGUCUGCUCUCUGCCUCUCUAACCUUAGAGGGUCCCUUGGAAUCAACUAAUAUUUCAGGUCCUUUCUUCCCAUUACUGUUGCCACACAAGGAACCCAGAUUACAUCAGGGAGAGGCUGAGCUCCAGAGGUUCACACCAGGAGCUUAUUCAUUGUCACACUGUUCCUGCUUCCUGACAGGUUCACUUGAACCAUCUGGAGAUUGGGGAACAAGGGCAAUGAGUUGAACAUGUAGGAAGUUUCAUGGCCCAGCCCCUCCUGAGAGCCCUGAACUGCCAACCAGACUGAGCCCAUCAGAGAAUAACACCUCAUUUUCUGAGGAUUCUGAUACCUUUUCAAUCAGAAACAGAAGCAAAGAUUCUGCAGCUCCCACAGAAACUCCCAGAAACCUUGCGGUGCUUCACCCUUCUGAGAUCCUUGAGUCCGAAUGUGGGAGCUAACCAGGCACAUCUUCACAAUGAAAUCUUCACAAGCUCAGAACCAUCAACUUGCUACACUGUGUUCCUCCAGUGCCCAGUUCACAGGAAGCACUCAAGAGUAGGAUCAAUUGUUAUCAACCUCUAGCAGAUUAUUGAAUAGACGGUCGUUACAUGAAACUGACACUCAGUUCUUCAUGGUCCACGAUAGUUCUUAUAUCCAGAAAACGUACUUACGUUAUCAACUCUGACUCCAUAAGACAACUUUGCAAAGUCUUGGCUCAUAACUAUGUAAGCAAUGAGAUAACUUAGUUUUCAUUUCUCACUUGUUACUUACAAGUAAACAGCCCUGCAGCUCAGCUGAGCUACAGAUUAACUACAGGUAAUCACUUCAGCGAUUCUGCUUUACCCAUGCCCAAGAUUUUAAAAAAGAACCUGACAGAUCAUUAAAUUUUGAGAUUUGCUUUUUAAAAUGCAGGUUCCAUAAAGUUACGCUGUUUUGCUUAUAUAUACAGCAACAAAUGCCUUCUUAGAUAUUUACUUUAAAAUUCUAGUUUCCUUACCAUGUAUUAGCCAGAUAAUCUGUCAUUUUUUAAAUUCUGAAAUUGUACAUAUAUAAAUUAAUGUACAUCUCUAUGCCUGAAAGGUACAUUUGGAAUUACAACGUGUGUCAAGGUAGAGCAAAAUCCCCCAGUCCACUCCUUCCAACCCCCUAGAAAUUUACUCUGUUUGGUUUCCUCUUGAUUGUCUUUAAUUAACAAUAAGUAUGUCACAUAGGUAUCAAAUAAAAUAAGAAAAAAAAUAGAUAAAAGAGAAGUGAUUCAAAAUUCAAGUGUUUAAACACUUUAUGAAUCUUCCCGUUGUUCUUGACACAUUUUUAAAAUUUCAUUUUAAUUCAGAUCAUUAGGGAUGAAAUUCUCCUGAAUUGUAGCAUUUUAUUUCCUUUGGGAAGAAGGGGCUGAAUUUGGCAUAAUUAUACUUGACUAUACUGUAAAAGAAACCAGAUCUAAUAUAAGGACAUCAAUACUUAGUUAUUAAUUCAUUUGCUUAUAUUUAUAUGUCAUUUGAAAAUGUGUAUUAACAUACACAAUUAAAGGGAUAUAAAAAUGAACAUGCC